Molecule: RNase P RNA, 418 nt
Filed under: Planctomycetota bacterium
Lineage: Bacteria; Pseudomonadati; Planctomycetota
Description: Planctomycetes bacterium RNase P RNA component class A
Rfam family: Bacterial RNase P class A
About the family: Ribonuclease P (RNase P) is a ubiquitous endoribonuclease, found in archaea, bacteria and eukarya as well as chloroplasts and mitochondria. Its best characterised activity is the generation of mature 5'-ends of tRNAs by cleaving the 5'-leader elements of precursor-tRNAs.
Source: RNAcentral
GGAGUGAACUGGGCGACCGCUCGACGACGCACUGCCACGUGGGUGCGUUUCGGGAGGAAAGUCCGGGCUCCACAGGACAGGGUGGUGGGUAACGCCCACCGGCCGCGAGGCCCGGGAAAGUGCAGCAGAAAGCAGACCGCCCGCGGGGGCACGCCCCCGCGCGGUAAGGGUGAAACGGUGAGGUAAGAGCUCACCAGCAGGCUGGGUGACCAGCCUGGCUAGGCAAACCCCACCCGGAGCAAGGCCAAACAGAGAGGAUCAGGGGCAACCCUGAGCGGACCGGUCCGGUCCGCCACCACACUCGGGUAGGCCGCUACAGAGGCGGAGCAAUCCGUUCUCGCAGAGAAAUGGUCGCUCCCCUGCGGCAGCGCAUGCUGCCGCAGGGGAACAGAACCCGGCUUACAGGUUCACUCCGAAC